UUCGGACUGGAGUCUGCAACCCGACUCCACGAAGUUGGAUUCGCUAGUAAUCGCGCAUCAGCCAUGGCGCGGUGAAUACGUUCCCGGGCCUUGUACACACCGCCCGUCAAGCCAUGGGAGCCGGGGGGUGCUUGAAGUGCGUCGCCGCAAGGCGCGCCCUAGAGCAAAACCGGUGACUGGGGCUAAGUCGUAACAAGGUAUC
This 202-nucleotide ribosomal RNA is filed under the name uncultured bacterium. RNAcentral describes it as "partial 16S ribosomal RNA". It matches the Rfam family "Bacterial small subunit ribosomal RNA", at positions 1292 to 1500 of the family's 1533-position model. The record is from RNAcentral.